RNAcentral lists this ribosomal RNA (253 nucleotides) under uncultured bacterium. Its description in RNAcentral is "partial 16S ribosomal RNA". It matches the Rfam family "Bacterial small subunit ribosomal RNA", at positions 524 to 776 of the family's 1533-position model. The record is from RNAcentral.
UACGUAGGGUGCAGGCGUUAAUCGGAAUUACUGGGCGUAAAGCGUGCGCAGGCGGUUUGCUAAGACAGAUGUGAAAUCCCCGGGCUUAACCUGGGAAUUGCGUUUGUAACUGGCAAGCUAGAGUGUGGCAGAGGGGGGUGGAAUUCCAAGUGUAGCAGUGAAAUGCGUAGAUAUUUGGAGGAACACCGAUGGCGAAGGCAGCCCCCUGGGCUAACACUGACGCUCAUGCACGAAAGCGUGGGGAGCAAACAGG